UACAGAGGGGGCAAGCGUUGUUCGGAAUUACUGGGCGUAAAGCGCACGUAGGCGGCUUUGUAAGUUAGAGGUGAAAGCCCGGAGCUCAACUCCGGGAUUGCCUUUAAGACUGCAUCGCUUGAAUCCAGGAGAGGUGAGUGGAAUUCCGAGUGUAGAGGUGAAAUUCGUAGAUAUUCGGAAGAACACCAGUGGCGAAGGCGGCUCACUGGACUGGUAUUGACGCUGAGGUGCGAAAGCGUGGGGAGCAAACAGG
Molecule: ribosomal RNA, 253 nt
Filed under: uncultured bacterium
Lineage: Bacteria
Description: partial 16S ribosomal RNA
Rfam family: Bacterial small subunit ribosomal RNA
Source: RNAcentral